GGUUAAGCGACUAAGCGUACACGGUGGAUGCCCUGGCAGUCAGAGGCGAUGAAGGACGUGCUAAUCUGCGAUAAGCGUCGGUAAGGUGAUAUGAACCGUUAUAACCGGCGAUUUCCGAAUGGGGAAACCCAGUGUGAUUCGUCACACUAUCAUUAACUGAAUCCAUAGGUUAAUGAGGCGAACCGGGGGAACUGAAACAUCUAAGUACCCCGAGGAAAAGAAAUCAACCGAGAUUCCCCCAGUAGCGGCGAGCGAACGGGGAGCAGCCCAGAGCCUGAAUCAGUGUGUGUGUUAGUGGAAGCGUCUGGAAAGGCGUGCGAUACAGGGUGACAGCCCCGUACACAAAAAUGCACAUGCUGUGAGCUCGAUGAGUAGGGCGGGACACGUGGUAUCCUGUCUGAAUAUGGGGGGACCAUCCUCCAAGGCUAAAUACUCCUGACUGACCGAUAGUGAACCAGUACCGUGAGGGAAAGGCGAAAAGAACCCCGGCGAGGGGAGUGAAAAAGAACCUGAAACCGUGUACGUACAAGCAGUGGGAGCACAGAGCAAUCUGUGUGACUGCGUACCUUUUGUAUAAUGGGUCAGCGACUUAUAUUCUGUAGCAAGGUUAACCGAAUAGGGGAGCCGAAGGGAAACCGAGUCUUAACUGGGCGUUAAGUUGCAGGGUAUAGACCCGAAACCCGGUGAUCUAGCCAUGGGCAGGUUGAAGGUUGGGUAACACUAACUGGAGGACCGAACCGACUAAUGUUGAAAAAUUAGCGGAUGACUUGUGGCUGGGGGUGAAAGGCCAAUCAAACCGGGAGAUAGCUGGUUCUCCCCGAAAGCUAUUUAGGUAGCGCCUCGUGAAUUCAUCUCCGGGGGUAGAGCACUGUUUCGGCAAGGGGGUCAUCCCGACUUACCAACCCGAUGCAAACUGCGAAUACCGGAGAAUGUUAUCACGGGAGACACACGGCGGGUGCUAACGUCCGUCGUGAAGAGGGAAACAACCCAGACCGCCAGCUAAGGUCCCAAAGUCAUGGUUAAGUGGGAAACGAUGUGGGAAGGCCCAGACAGCCAGGAUGUUGGCUUAGAAGCAGCCAUCAUUUAAAGAAAGCGUAAUAGCUCACUGGUCGAGUCGGCCUGCGCGGAAGAUGUAACGGGGCUAAACCAUGCACCGAAGCUGCGGCAGCGACGCUUAUGCGUUGUUGGGUAGGGGAGCGUUCUGUAAGCCUGCGAAGGUGUGCUGUGAGGCAUGCUGGAGGUAUCAGAAGUGCGAAUGCUGACAUAAGUAACGAUAAAGCGGGUGAAAAGCCCGCUCGCCGGAAGACCAAGGGUUCCUGUCCAACGUUAAUCGGGGCAGGGUGAGUCGACCCCUAAGGCGAGGCCGAAAGGCGUAGUCGAUGGGAAACAGGUUAAUAUUCCUGUACUUGGUGUUACUGCGAAGGGGGGACGGAGAAGGCUAUGUUGGCCGGGCGACGGUUGUCCCGGUUUAAGCGUGUAGGCUGGUUUUCCAGGCAAAUCCGGAAAAUCAAGGCUGAGGCGUGAUGACGAGGCACUACGGUGCUGAAGCAACAAAUGCCCUGCUUCCAGGAAAAGCCUCUAAGCAUCAGGUAACAUCAAAUCGUACCCCAAACCGACACAGGUGGUCAGGUAGAGAAUACCAAGGCGCUUGAGAGAACUCGGGUGAAGGAACUAGGCAAAAUGGUGCCGUAACUUCGGGAGAAGGCACGCUGAUAUGUAGGUGAAGCGACUUGCUCGUGGAGCUGAAAUCAGUCGAAGAUACCAGCUGGCUGCAACUGUUUAUUAAAAACACAGCACUGUGCAAACACGAAAGUGGACGUAUACGGUGUGACGCCUGCCCGGUGCCGGAAGGUUAAUUGAUGGGGUCAGCGCAAGCGAAGCUCUUGAUCGAAGCCCCGGUAAACGGCGGCCGUAACUAUAACGGUCCUAAGGUAGCGAAAUUCCUUGUCGGGUAAGUUCCGACCUGCACGAAUGGCGUAAUGAUGGCCAGGCUGUCUCCACCCGAGACUCAGUGAAAUUGAACUCGCUGUGAAGAUGCAGUGUACCCGCGGCAAGACGGAAAGACCCCGUGAACCUUUACUAUAGCUUGACACUGAACAUUGAGCCUUGAUGUGUAGGAUAGGUGGGAGGCUUUGAAGUGUGGACGCCAGUCUGCAUGGAGCCGACCUUGAAAUACCACCCUUUAAUGUUUGAUGUUCUAACGUUGACCCGUGAUCCGGGUUGCGGACAGUGUCUGGUGGGUAGUUUGACUGGGGCGGUCUCCUCCUAAAGAGUAACGGAGGAGCACGAAGGUUGGCUAAUCCUGGUCGGACAUCAGGAGGUUAGUGCAAUGGCAUAAGCCAGCUUGACUGCGAGCGUGACGGCGCGAGCAGGUGCGAAAGCAGGUCAUAGUGAUCCGGUGGUUCUGAAUGGAAGGGCCAUCGCUCAACGGAUAAAAGGUACUCCGGGGAUAACAGGCUGAUACCGCCCAAGAGUUCAUAUCGACGGCGGUGUUUGGCACCUCGAUGUCGGCUCAUCACAUCCUGGGGCUGAAGUAGGUCCCAAGGGUAUGGCUGUUCGCCAUUUAAAGUGGUACGCGAGCUGGGUUUAGAACGUCGUGAGACAGUUCGGUCCCUAUCUGCCGUGGGCGCUGGAGAACUGAGGGGGGCUGCUCCUAGUACGAGAGGACCGGAGUGGACGCAUCACUGGUGUUCGGGUUGUCAUGCCAAUGGCACUGCCCGGUAGCUAAAUGCGGAAGAGAUAAGUGCUGAAAGCAUCUAAGCACGAAACUUGCCCCGAGAUGAGUUCUCCCUGACUCCUUGAGAGUCCUGAAGGAACGUUGAAGACGACGACGUUGAUAGGCCGGGUGUGUAAGCGCAGCGAUGCGUUGAGCUAACCGGUACUAAUGAACCGUGAGGCUUAACCUU
This 2906-nucleotide ribosomal RNA is filed under the name Escherichia coli. RNAcentral's name for it is "23S ribosomal RNA". It matches the Rfam family "Bacterial large subunit ribosomal RNA". The record is from RNAcentral. Lineage: Bacteria; Pseudomonadati; Pseudomonadota; Gammaproteobacteria; Enterobacterales; Enterobacteriaceae.